AACGUAGGACGCAAGCGUUAUCCGGAAUUACUGGGCGUAAAGCGCGUGUAGGCGGAUGGUUAAGUUACUGGUGAAAGCGCCGGGCUAAACUCGGCGAGGUCCGGUAAGACUGGUCAUCUAGAGGGGGUCAGAGGGGUGCGGAAUUCCGGGUGUAGUGGUGAAAUGCGUAGAGAUCCGGAGGAACACCAGAGGCGAAGGCGGCACCCUGGGACCAACCUGACGCUGAGACGCGAAAGCAUGGGGAGCGAACGGG
Molecule: ribosomal RNA, 253 nt
Filed under: uncultured bacterium
Lineage: Bacteria
Description: partial 16S ribosomal RNA
Rfam family: Bacterial small subunit ribosomal RNA
Source: RNAcentral